UUCCGUAGGUGAACCUGCGGAAGGAUCAUUACCGAGUGCGGGUCUUUAUGGCCCAACCUCCCACCCGUGACUAUUGUACCUUGUUGCUUCGGCGGGCCCGCCAGCGUUGCUGGCCGCCGGGGGGCGACUCGCCCCCGGGCCCGUGCCCGCCGGAGACCCCAACAUGAACCCUGUUCUGAAAGCUUGCAGUCUGAGUGUGAUUCUUUGCAAUCAGUUAAAACUUUCAACAAUGGAUCUCUUGGUUCCGGCAUCGAUGAAGAACGCAGCGAAAUGCGAUAACUAAUGUGAAUUGCAGAAUUCAGUGAAUCAUCGAGUCUUUGAACGCACAUUGCGCCCCCUGGUAUUCCGGGGGGCAUGCCUGUCCGAGCGUCAUUGCUGCCCUCAAGCCCGGCUUGUGUGUUGGGCCCUCGUCCCCCGGCUCCCGGGGGACGGGCCCGAAAGGCAGCGGCGGCACCGCGUCCGGUCCUCGAGCGUAUGGGGCUUCGUCUUCCGCUCCGUAGGCCCGGCCGGCGCCCGCCGACGCAUUUGUUUGCAACUUGUUUUUCUCCAGGUUGACCUCGGAUCAGGUAGGGAUACCCGCUGAACUUAAGCAUAUCAAUAAGCGGAGGAA
Molecule: unclassified non-coding RNA, 610 nt
Filed under: Aspergillus terreus
Lineage: Eukaryota; Fungi; Ascomycota; Eurotiomycetes; Eurotiales; Aspergillaceae
Description: sequence contains ITS1, 5.8S rRNA gene and ITS2
Rfam family: 5.8S ribosomal RNA (bases 219-372)
Source: RNAcentral